RNAcentral lists this ribosomal RNA (438 nucleotides) under uncultured bacterium. RNAcentral describes it as "bacterial SSU rRNA". It matches the Rfam family "Bacterial small subunit ribosomal RNA", at positions 39 to 473 of the family's 1533-position model. The record is from RNAcentral.
GAAUUCGAUUCAGGCCUAACACAUGCAAGUCGAGGGGUAGAACACUUCGGUGUUUGAGACCGGCGCACGGGUGCGUAACGCGUAUGCAAUCUACCUUGUACAGGGGAAUAGCCCAGAGAAAUUUGGAUUAAUGCCCCAUAGUAUAUAACCUUCGCAUGUUGGUUAUAUUAAAGUUCCAACGGUACAAGAUGAGCAUGCGUCCCAUUAGUUAGUUGGUAAGGUAACGGCUUACCAAGACGAUGAUGGGUAGGGGUCCUGAGAGGGAGAUCCCCCACACUGGUACUGAGACACGGACCAGACUCCUACGGGAGGCAGCAGUGAGGAAUAUUGGUCAAUGGUCGCAAGACUGAACCAGCCAUGCCGCGUGCAGGAAGACGGUCCUAUGGAUUGUAAAGGGCUUUUAUACAGGAAGAAACCCUCCCACGUGUGGGAGCUGAC